RNAcentral lists this ribosomal RNA (1500 nucleotides) under Triticum aestivum (bread wheat). RNAcentral's name for it is "partial small subunit ribosomal RNA". Lineage: Eukaryota; Viridiplantae; Streptophyta; Magnoliopsida; Poales; Poaceae. The record is from RNAcentral.
AUGAAGCCCUCCUCGUGGAGCACGGAGAGAUGCGCCCGGACAUUCUACGUCGCGGUGCUCCUCUCCGUCGCCCUUUGGGCCCUCAUAUUCUACUCCACCAGCUUGCAAUCCCAAUCCGGCGAUGCUCUCAGCAAGCCGCCGGCCUUCCUCUCGCCCCGCUCUGCCCGUCCGGGCCCGUCGUGCGCCGGCCGGUACGUGUACAUGUACGACCUGCCGCCCCGGUUCAACGCCGACCUCGCCCGCGACUGCCGCAUGCUCUCGGCGUCCACCGACAUGUGCAGGCACGUGGUCAACGACGGGUUCGGCCCGCCGAUCACCGACGGCGGCGCGCUCCCCGAGAGCGGAGCCUACGCCACCGACCAAUACAUGCUGGAGCUGAUCUUCCACGCCCGGAUGAGGCAGUACGAGUGCCUCACGCCCGACCCCGCCGCCGCCGCCGCGGUCUACGUCCCGUUCUACGCCGAGUUCGACCUGGCGAUGCGCAUCGACAACAGCGACAUGUCGGCGCGGAACGCGCUGCCGCGGGACGUUGCGGACUGGCUGGUGCGGCGGCCCGAGUGGCGCGCCAUGGGGGGCCGCGACCACUUCAUGCUAGCCAGCCGGCCCACAUGGGACCUGCUCUGCGACCCCAACCAUGGCGGAUAUGGCAACUCCCUCAUGACCUACCCGGCCAUCCGCAACAUGACGGUGCUCGCCUUCGAGGCCAGCCCGUGGCAGGGCAACGACUUCGCCGUGCCGUACCCGUCGCACUUCCACCCUUCCUCCGACGCCCAGGUCGCCGCCUGGCAGAGCCGCAUGCGCGGGCUGGAGCGCCGGCGGCUAUGGUGCUUCGCCGGCGGGUCCCGCCACGAGAGCAGGAAGACCGGGCGCAACCAGAUCAUCGAGCAGUGCCGCAGGUCGAGCCGCUGCGCCUUGCUCGGCAAAGCAGCGGUGACCAAGAGCCCGGGGGAGUACACCCAGGGGGAGUACUCGCCGAGCCAUGCCAUGCGGCUGCUGGAGAGCGCCGAGUUCUGCGUACAGCCGCGGGGGGACUCGUACACGCGCAAGUCCAUCUUCGACACCAUCCUCGCCGGCUGCAUCCCGGUCUUUCUCCACCCGAUCUCGGCGUACGUCCAGUACACGUGGUACCUGCCCAGGGACUACAGGGCCUACUCGGUGUUCAUCCCCCAGCGCGACGUGAUCGGCCGGAACGCGAGCAUCGAGGAGGUGCUGAGGAAGAUACCGCCGGCGAAGGUGGCGCGGAUGCGGGAGGAGGUCGUCCGGCUCAUACCGUCCGUGAUGUACAGGGAGCCGGCGGCAAAGGGGGUGGAGUUCAAGGACGCGUUCGACGUCGCGGUGGAACGGGUCAUCGACCGGGUGGCGAAGCGCCGCCGCGCCGCGGCCGAGGGCCGGGAGUGCCGGGACAGCGUCGACGGGUACGAUAGCUGGAAGUACGACUUGCUUGAGGAUGGCCAGACAGAAAUAGGUCCGCACGAGUUUGAUCCAUUUAUGUCCAUGUAA